RNAcentral lists this ribosomal RNA (497 nucleotides) under uncultured bacterium. RNAcentral describes it as "partial 16S ribosomal RNA". It matches the Rfam family "Bacterial small subunit ribosomal RNA", at positions 28 to 507 of the family's 1533-position model. The record is from RNAcentral.
GAUGAACGCUGGCGGCGUGCCUAAUACAUGCAAGUCGAGCGAACGGACGAGAAGCUUGCUUCUCUGAUGUUAGCGGCGGACGGGUGAGUAACACGUGGAUAACCUACCUAUAAGACUGGGAUAACUUCGGGAAACCGGAGCUAAUACCGGAUAAUAUUUUGAACCGCAUGGUUCAAAAGUGAAAGACGGUCUUGCUGUCACUUAUAGAUGGAUCCGCGCUGCAUUAGCUAGUUGGUAAGGUAACGGCUUACCACGGCAACGAUGAAUAGCCGAACUGAGUGGACGAUAGGCCACACUAGAACUGUACCACGGUCAAGACUCCUGCGAAACGCAGCAGUAGCGAAUCUUGCGAACUAGACGAAAGCCUCACGGAGCACCACCGCGUGAGCGAUAAGGAUCUUCGGAUCCUAAAACUCCGUUAUUAGGGAAGACAAUAUGUGUAAGUGACUGAGCACAUCUUGACGGUACCUAAUCAGAAAGCCGCGGCUAACUACGUG